GUGGGUAGAGCUCAGUGGUAGAGCACAUGCUUAGCAUGUGUGAGGUCCUGGGUUCAAUCCUCAGUACCUCCA
This 72-nucleotide transfer RNA is filed under the name Camelus bactrianus (Bactrian camel). It matches the Rfam family "tRNA". Rfam says of the family: Transfer RNA (tRNA) molecules are approximately 80 nucleotides in length. Their secondary structure includes four short double-helical elements and three loops (D, anti-codon, and T loops). RNAcentral also lists the same sequence under 2 other names. The record is from Rfam by way of RNAcentral. Lineage: Eukaryota; Metazoa; Chordata; Mammalia; Artiodactyla; Camelidae.